AGAGCAAAUCUCAAAAAAACAAUCUCAGUUCAGACUGCAGGCUGCAACUCGCCUGCACGAAGUCGGAAUUGCUAGUAAUCGUAGGUCAGCAUACUACGGUGAAUACGUUCCCGGGCCUUGUACACACCGCCCGUCAAACCAUGAGAGUUGGCAACACCCGAAGUCGGUAGUCUAACCGCAAGGAGGACGCCGCCGAAGGUGGGGUUGAUGAUUAGGGUUAAGUCGUAACAAGGUACC
This 237-nucleotide ribosomal RNA is filed under the name uncultured bacterium. Its description in RNAcentral is "partial 16S ribosomal RNA". It matches the Rfam family "Bacterial small subunit ribosomal RNA", at positions 1264 to 1500 of the family's 1533-position model. The record is from RNAcentral.